AACGAACGCUGGCGGCGUGCUUAAUACAUGCAAGUCGUGCGAGAACGGGUCCUUCGGGACCUUAGUGAAGCGGCGAACGGGUGCGUAACACGUGGGCAACCUGCCUAUCAGUUUGGGAUAAGCUCUCGAAAGGGGGUCUAAUGCCGAAUGAUACCCAGAAGAGACAUCUCUUUUGGUUCAAAGACGGUGAAAGCCGUCACUGAUAGAUGGGCCCGCGCCCC
This 221-nucleotide ribosomal RNA is filed under the name uncultured bacterium. RNAcentral describes it as "partial 16S ribosomal RNA". It matches the Rfam family "Bacterial small subunit ribosomal RNA", at positions 29 to 239 of the family's 1533-position model. The record is from RNAcentral.